GUUUUGCAGCCUUGCCAGUAGCACCUUACUGAAGUCCUGGACAGUGACUGGUAGAAAUAAUCUUCCUACUGCUUCUAAGUAGAUUUUAAUUUAGUAGUUUGGGAGACUAAGUGAAGCUCCAGGAUGGACACAGUAAAACUGUGAGAGCAAAAAAGAUACCCUUCACAGCCCAAAAGUUCUGUCCUACACGUACGAGGAUAAUGCCUGAUACAUCAGAAAGUUUGCAGCAAAACUGAAGCAUUUCACAUGCUUGAUUUCAAAGGCUUCACUAUAUACACUUCUAAAAAAAUUGUAUGUAGAGCAAGCCCAAGGCAAGAAAGAGAAGUAGCCUAAACCAACAGUAUUGUUCUUCUGUCCCCUUUUUUAUCCUUGCAGGGAAUUAGACAAGUUUUCACCUUCUAAUCUUUGUGUAGGAUCACACACAGCUUGGUGUGUCUUUGAAUACCGCAGAAACUGAGUGGCUUCUUGCUGCAGAAUAGAAUAUGGAAAGUACUGAAAGCUGUCUGUGGUGUGAUAUGGCUGAGAUCCAUGUACAAACGUACAGGAAGGAUUGCUUCUCCUGGAAGGUUGCUUUACCUAGCCCCACUGUUACUAUUCAUAUGCACAUAAGACUUGAAAAUUUAGUGAGAAGAACAUCUGUGCUCUACCUUCGAAUUCCUUUAAAAGAAUUUGAAGUCUUCAAAGGACACUUUGUUGUAUUCAGAAAAGUGCUCUGUGAUUAA
This 722-nucleotide long non-coding RNA is filed under the name Parus major (Great Tit). RNAcentral describes it as "lncRNA (ENSPMJG00000018223.1)". The record is from RNAcentral. Lineage: Eukaryota; Metazoa; Chordata; Aves; Passeriformes; Paridae.